Molecule: transfer RNA, 71 nt
Filed under: Loxodonta africana (African savanna elephant)
Lineage: Eukaryota; Metazoa; Chordata; Mammalia; Proboscidea; Elephantidae
Rfam family: tRNA
About the family: Transfer RNA (tRNA) molecules are approximately 80 nucleotides in length.
Source: Rfam by way of RNAcentral
GUAGUGGUAGCUCAGUGGUAGAAUCCUCGCCUUCCAUGCGAGGCACCCAGGUUCAAUUCUCGGCCAAUGUA